UCACGAAAGAUGUGUAUCGCAACUUAU
Molecule: non-coding RNA, 27 nt
Filed under: Bombyx mori (domestic silkworm)
Lineage: Eukaryota; Metazoa; Arthropoda; Insecta; Lepidoptera; Bombycidae
Source: RNAcentral